This 2149-nucleotide small RNA is filed under the name Pan troglodytes (chimpanzee). Its description in RNAcentral is "retained intron". Lineage: Eukaryota; Metazoa; Chordata; Mammalia; Primates; Hominidae. The record is from RNAcentral.
AUGGUGUUCACCCCACUUCAUCAGCGUACAUAAGUUAUCUCUUCUUUUGGACCCUUAUUUUAUGCCAUAAUGCAACAAGCUUUAGAACUAGCUUUGGAUCGUGCAGAGUAUGUCAUUGAAAGUGCCCGACAGAGACCUCCUAAAAGGAAAUACCUAUCAAGUGGAAGAAAAUCUGUAUUUCAAAAACUUUAUGACUUGUAUAUUGAAGAAUGUGAAAAAGAACCUGAAGUUAAGCAGAAAUUAAGAAGAAAUGUGAACUUGUUAGAGAAGCUUGUUAUGCAAGAGACUUUGUCAUGUUUAGUGGUCAAUCUAUACCCAGGAAAUGAGGGAUAUUCUCUGAUGCUCAGGGGAAAAAACGGAUCAGAUUCCGAGACCAUUCGACUGCCCUAUGAAGAAGGAGAGUUGCUUGAAUAUUUGGAUGCAGAAGAAUUACCUCCUAUUUUGGUUGAUCUCCUAGAAAAAUCUCAGGUUAAUAUUUUUCAUUGCGGAUGUGUCAUAGCAGAAAUACGUGACUACAGGCAGUCCAGUAACAUGAAAUCUCCUGGUUACCAAAGUCGGCACAUUCUCUUACGUCCAACAAUGCAGACUUUAAUUUGUGAUGUACAUUCAAUAACAAGUGAUAACCACAAAUGGACCCAGGAAGACAAACUUUUGCUUGAGAGCCAGCUCAUCCUAGCUACAGCUGAACCACUCUGUCUUGAUCCUUCUAUAGCAGUCACCUGCACUGCAAACAGACUGCUCUAUAACAAGCAAAAGAUGAACACUCGCCCAAUGAAACGGUGUUUCAAGAGGUAUUCCAGAUCCUCUCUGAAUCGGCAGCAAGAUCUAUCUCAUUGUCCACCUCCUCCUCAGCUGAGGUUACUUGAUUUCUUACAAAAAAGAAAGGAAAGAAAAGCAGGUCAGCAUUAUGACCUCAAAAUUUCUAAGGCAGGAAAUUGUGUAGAUAUGUGGAAACGGAGUCCCUGUAAUUUGGCCAUACCUUCUGAAGUAGAUGUGGAGAAAUAUGCUAAAGUGGAAAAGUCUAUCAAAUCUGAUGACUCACAGCCAACAGUCUGGCCAGCCCAUGAUGUAAAAGAUGAUUAUGUAUUUGAAUGUGAAGCUGGUACUCAGUAUCAGAAAACAAAGCUGACCAUCUUGCAGUCGCUUGGAGAUCCACUUUACUAUGGUAAAAUACAGCCAUGUAAAGCAGAUGAAGAAAGUGACAGCCAGAUGUCUCCAUCACACUCGUCCACAGAUGAUCAUUCAAAUUGGUUCAUUAUUGGAUCAAAGACCGAUGCUGAGAGGGUAGUCAAUCAGUACCAGGAAUUAGUCCAGAAUGAAGCCAAAUGUCCGGUCAAGAUGUCACACAGCUCCAGUGGCUCAGCCAGUCUGAGUCAGGUCUCUCCAGGGAAAGAAACAGAUCAAACUGAAACCGUGUCAGUUCAGUCUUCGGUAUUGGGGAAGGGUGUAAAACAUCGACCCCCACCAAUCAAACUUCCCUCAAGCUCAGGAAAUAGUUCCUCAGGUAACUAUUUUACACCACAACAGACAAGCAGCUUUCUCAAAUCUCCAACUCCUCCUCCUUCUUCUAAGCCAUCAAGUAUUCCUCGGAAAUCAUCUGUGGAUCUCAAUCAAGUUAGCAUGCUUUCUCCAGCUGCCCUAUCACCUGCCAGCUCAUCACAAAGUGAGUCAUAACUUAAAUUCUUCAUUAAAUCUUCAUAAGCUUUUGCAUUAGUGUUUCUUAAGACAGCUUUUUUCAACCUGUGAAGUAGUGAUAUCUGAAUGUACUGUGUAUCCAAAAUGUAUAAGUUGCUAGAAGCUUCAGGCAGAGCUCUUGUUGAUUGUAUGUAUUAUGUCUCUAUUGUAAUUGUACUUGUUUUUCUGUAUCUAUGUAUGCAUUCUGCGUAUACCUUUCUUAUAGGCUUACAACCUACACAUCUCCUUAAAAAAAUAACCUGAUAGUUACAUGUGGCAAUAAGAUUUCAAAAUAUUUUUUAUUCCAGUAUACCCUAGGAUCAUUUUACAUAUUUAUGUAAAUUGUGUGGCUGAUAUGAAAAAAAUGUCAUAAGAGUUGUUGCUGCAGGUCCUAUCUUUGUGUAUAUGUAAGAAGUCAACUAGUUCCAAGGUGGUGAUACAAUAAACUGAAAAACAAUAUUUCAAAAACACUCCU